AGAUUAUAGGUGACAUUUCAAAUCAGACUGCCUUUAGUGUGCCUCCAUGUGUGAAAAGAUAGAAGCCUUGCUGACAAGCAGUGAACAAUGAGCUGAAGUAAAGAAAUAUUGAAAUGUGGAAGAGCAGGAAGUGAAACAGAAAGGCUAAAACUACCUGGGGCAUUAUGUGGAUGAAAAGAGGAGAGGAAUGUACUGUAAUGAUCUCAAUGAGCUCUUAAGAGUUCGCUGAUCCAGGAAUCUCAUGCAUGACAUCCAGACUGAGGGAGAGGAUGAGACGUGCUUCCCACUAACCACAGCAGCUACAGAUCUUCAAAGUUUUAACUGAUUUCAGCAUUAAGGAAAUGAAAUUUACCGUUGCUAUGGGAGAUGACAGAUAAAACCAAAGUAUUUGGAUGUAAAGUGAG
Molecule: long non-coding RNA, 404 nt
Filed under: Cyanistes caeruleus (blue tit)
Lineage: Eukaryota; Metazoa; Chordata; Aves; Passeriformes; Paridae
Description: lncRNA (ENSCCEG00000023075.1)
Source: RNAcentral